CGUUGAGUGUACCUGUSGAAUAAGCACCGGCUAACUACGUGCCAGCAGCCGCGGUAAUACGUAGGGUGCAAGCGUUAUCCGGAAUUAUUGGGCGUAAAGGGCUCGUAGGCGGUUCGUCGCGUCCGGUGUGAAAGCCCAUCGCUUAACGGUGGGUCUGCGCCGGGUACGGGCGGGCUGGAGUGCGGUAGGGGAGACUGGAAUUCCCGGUGUAACGGUGGAAUGUGUAGAUAUCGGGAGGAACACCAAUGGCGAAGGCAGGUCUCUGGGCCGUUACUGACGCUGAGGAGCGAAAGCGUGGGGAGCGAACAGGAUUAGAUACCCUGGUAGUCCACGCCGUAAACGGUGGAUGCUGGAUGUGGGGCCCUUUCCACGGGUCCCGUGUCGGAGCCAACGCGUUAAGCAUCCCGCCUGGGGAGUACGGCCGCAAGGCUAAAACUCAAAGAAAUUGACGGGGGCCCGCACAAGCGGCGGAGCAUGCGGAUUAAUUCGAUGCAACGCGAAGAACCUUACCUGGGCUUGACAUGUUCCCGACGACUCCAGAGAUGGGGUUUCCCUUCGGGGCGGGUUCACAGGUGGUGCAUGGUCGUCGUCAGCUCGUGUCGUGAGAUGUUGGGUUAAGUCCCGCAACGAGCGCAACCCUCGCCCCGUGUUGCCAGCAGUUCGGCUGGGGACUCACGGGGGACCGCCGGGGUCAACUCGGAGGAAGGUGGGGAUGACGUCAGAUCAUCAUGCCCCUUACGUCCAGGGCUUCACGCAUGCUACAAUGGCCGGUACAGCGGGAUGCGACAUGGCGACAUGGAGCGGAUCCCUGAAAACCGGUCUCAGUUCGGAUUGGAGUCUGCAACCCGACUCCAUGAAGGCGGAGUCGCUAGUAAUCGCGGAUCAGCAACGCCGCGGUGAAUGCGUUCCCGGGCCUUGUACACACCGCCCGUCAAGUCAUGAAAGUGGGCAGCACCCGAAGCCGGUGGCCUAACCCGUGAGGGGUGGAGCCGUCUAAGGUGAGGCUCGUGAUUGGGACUAAGUCGUA
RNAcentral lists this ribosomal RNA (1027 nucleotides) under Bifidobacterium stellenboschense. RNAcentral's name for it is "bacterial SSU rRNA". It matches the Rfam family "Bacterial small subunit ribosomal RNA", at positions 467 to 1490 of the family's 1533-position model. The record is from RNAcentral. Lineage: Bacteria; Bacillati; Actinomycetota; Actinomycetes; Bifidobacteriales; Bifidobacteriaceae.